UAUAUCUUACUUUAAGAUUAGAUGAUGAGUAAGAGAACAAAAGUAAGUAUUUUAUCACACCUACCUGACUAGAAUUCAGGAUAAGUAAGUUCUUCAUAAGAGAACAUUUCCAUUACGAAUUCAGUCGCAAAUUGUAGAAUUAGCUACUCUACGAUUUAGUGAGCGUUAGUAACGUUGUAAUAUAAUAUAGUCUUUGGAAGGAUUAUAUUGUAUUAUUAAAUAACUCCUC
This 229-nucleotide non-coding RNA is filed under the name unclassified sequences. RNAcentral's name for it is "RAGATH-14 RNA". The stretch from base 46 to 229 matches the Rfam family "RAGATH-14 RNA". From Rfam's summary of the family: RNA motif Associated with Genes Associated with Twister and Hammerhead ribozymes (RAGATH). The record is from Rfam by way of RNAcentral.